UUCCACUUCAAGUUGGUCAAGAGUUUUAUCAGAUCUUUUGCUAGGGCUUCCUAUUAGCUGAAGCCAGAGAGAAGAGAGAAGGCAUGGAAGCCCAUUGACUACACGAUACAAGUCAGCACACCAGAGGAGAGAGCGGGAAAAGAAGGAGAGUAAGUUCAGCGGGGCCCACAGAAGUUACCCAAUACCAGCCCUUUCUUAGUGUGCUAAGUAAGACGCAUCUAAGAGAAAGAACAACAGGUGCAGGCCCAGGAGAGCUGAUGGUGUAUUCCAGUCCAAACCCAAACCCGAAGGCCUGAGAACCAGGAGCACUCUAUGGCAGAGGGCAAAGAUGGACGUUCCAGCUCAAGCAGAGAGCACAGUCACCUUUCCUCUGCCAUUGGUUCCGUUCCAGCGCUCAGUGGAUUGGAUGAAGCCCACCUGCAUUGGGGAGCGCCAUCUUCUUUACUCAGUCUACUGAUUCAAAUGCUAAUCUCUUCCAGAAACACCCUCACAGACACACCCAGAAAUAAUGUUUUACCAGCUAUCUGGUCAUUCCUUACCUCAGUCAAAUUCAUACAUAAAACUAAGCAUCACACCUCCCCAAAAUCAAGACAAUGGAUGAUGUUUAUAACUGGGUAAAAUGGGAUUUGUAAUUCAGGUUAUUUCAUGUUCUUUGCUUUCCACAAAUCUGAAGCAUAACCUAAUCAACUUGCCAACGGAUUUAUAAUUAAUAAUUUUUGAUCAUAGACUAUUAUGUUACUUCAGCAUGUAAUUCUGAAGGAGUUCAAAGAAUUGUGUGACAUUGUUCAAGUAAAAUCCCUUUCAUUCCUAUGAAUUUAAUCAUAUAAACGCAUUUCCAUUCUACUUCAAGUAAUAAAAUGAAAAAUAUCAGUAGGAUGGAUUGGAAACUGUCAUAGUCUAGCAAUAAUUCAUAUUUACCCAUGGAUAAGUUCAGUAAUCAAAAAAUAGCUUUAUUAAUUUCAUUAAGAUAUGCAUUCUAGAAAGUGAAUUUUGUGUUAAAAUUACUUAUUAAAUUUGUAAUAUGUUUAUGCUGAGACAAAUUGUGUACUAAUAACAAUUAUAAUGCGACUCAAUCCAGAAGAAAAACAAUUUAAUAAAGUCCUAUACAACAAAAUAUAAAAUUGUAGUGUCUAUACACAUUCAGUGAUAGAAUUAAGAUGGGGUGUUCAAUAUAAGAGCUUUAAGCAUAGAACGAUAUUGUAUCAGCAUGUAAUUUAGGUGUGAAAGUGAAAUGGAAAUGUGAGUUCAAGAUGAAAAAAUAAAAAUAAAUGAUUUCUGAAUUUUAAAGAAGAACUUAUUCAUAUGUAUUUUAAAUGGUUUUGAUGAGGAUUUCAAAUUAUUAUGCUCAGGAAAAACAAAAAAAGGAAUGAUAACUCUCUUCUGCCAGGAUUGAUCCUGAGCUUUCCGACAAAGCACUGAGGUCUGGUAACAUCCAUCCGUUAACUGCAUUCCCUCUGUUGUCUCUGAUCAUCUAUGCCUGGAAAAGCUUCCACGGGAAGUUUGUCAAACCUUCUAAAAAUUUACCUGUUUCAUUUGUGUUUCUGAAAAGUUUUUAAGUUUUUUAAGUAAAGAUUAU
Equus asinus (donkey) is the source of this 1576-nucleotide long non-coding RNA. NCBI's taxonomy places the organism in Eukaryota, Metazoa, Chordata, Mammalia, Perissodactyla, Equidae. The record is from Ensembl.